GAUGAACGCUAGCGACAGGCCUAACACAUGCAAGUCGAGGGGCAUCACAUGAAGUAGCAAUACGGAUGGUGGCGACCGGCGCACGGGUGAGUAACACGUAUGCAACCUGCCUUCAACAAGGGGAUAACCCGUUGAAAGACGGACUAAUACCCUAUAACACAGGGGUCCCGCAUGGGAAUAUUUGUUAAAGGACAACCGGUUGAAGAUGGGCAUGCGUUCCAUUAGCUAGUUGGCGGGGUAACGGCCCACCAAGGCAACGAUGGAUAGGGGAACUGAGAGGUUUAUCCCCCACACUGGUACUGAGACACGGACCAGACUCCUACGGGAGGCAGCAGUGAGGAAUAUUGGUCAAUGGACGCAAGUCUGAACCAGCCACGUCGCGUGAAGGAAGACGGCCCUACGGGUUGUAAACUUCUUUUAUACGGGAAUAAAGUGCCCCACGCGUGGGGUUUUGCAUGUACCGUAUGAAUAAGGAUCGGCUAACUCCGUG
RNAcentral lists this ribosomal RNA (490 nucleotides) under uncultured bacterium. RNAcentral's name for it is "bacterial SSU rRNA". It matches the Rfam family "Bacterial small subunit ribosomal RNA", at positions 28 to 507 of the family's 1533-position model. The record is from RNAcentral.